AAUUUCAAUAUGGCAUCAGUUAUCUUCUAUACAAGGAAUGACAAACUACAAAUAAUUAAUGCAUCUUUUUUUCUGGGUGUGCCCAUUAAAGGAUUUAGAAAAUAGAUUAAGAAAUAGAUUUAAGGGCAAAAUGAUAUUAUAUAGAAACACCCAUACUGGUGUUCUGGAUUUAGUCACUGUAUAAACACACAUUUAUCUUCCUGGUUUCUAUCAGUGAAGUGACGACAGCAGUUACACCCUGCUCAUCAGACUACAUAGAGGACAAGAGGAAAUCAUCUUACAAUCUUUGUUACUGGUAUUACACCAAUCCCUCGUUUGUGCUCGACUUGUUUUCUUGUGUUCAAACAGCCACUCAGUUUUUAAUGAGUUUCUCUUGAGGUGUUUUUAAGUGUGGUGGCCUCAUCCUUCUCCAGAAGAUCUUCCAUUCUUUUCAGUCAAUGACACAGUGCUUGAAACGAAAGAUUACCUUCUGUCUUUGUCUUUCUCUCACUCCUGACACAGAACCUGACGACCCUGUGUCACCUUGAUCAGCUUCUCUUGGUGACUCACAUCAACCUCUCCUCCAAUCAGCUGCUGCGGCUGCCGUCUCAGUUUGCCAUGCUGCAGUGCCUCGAGGUGCUGGAGGCCGAUGACAAUGCCAUUGAAAGUCUGGAGGGACUGUAUCAUCUGCCUAAACUAGAGGAAGUGUCUCUGUGGAACAACCAAAUCUGUAAGCUGUCUGAUCUUGAAUCAUUGGC
Long non-coding RNA from Carassius carassius (crucian carp), 737 nucleotides. RefSeq lists it as uncharacterized. NCBI's taxonomy places the organism in Eukaryota, Metazoa, Chordata, Actinopteri, Cypriniformes, Cyprinidae. The record is from RefSeq and is a predicted model, not a curated record. The transcript has 3 exons.